This is a long non-coding RNA of Cyprinus carpio (common carp), 492 nucleotides long. Lineage: Eukaryota; Metazoa; Chordata; Actinopteri; Cypriniformes; Cyprinidae. The record is from Ensembl.
AGUAUCUGUCAUCCUCAUACGUGUGUGUGUGUGUGUGUGUGCUCCAGCUCUGUUGUGUCGGCGUAUCUCGGCUCGUCUCAUGAUGGCGGUCGGCUCUGUGAAUUCAGCAUCACACAGUACGCUUGUGCAGAGUUGACAGACCUGAGCUCGCAGCACCUGGCGACGGUGUUGUCAUGCGGUCUCAAUGGGAAUGAGAACGUGUCCGAGGAGACGUGGAAACUCUUGACGCAGAAGGUGAACCCUGUGCUGGGUCCAGCGCUCGACCUGCUCGCCCACACGAGGCUGAAUAAGUCCCACCCCGCAGUCUCAUUCUUGAAUGUGAUUGGAGAGGUCACUCUGAGCUCCUUCAGCUCCACCAAUCUGAGAGAUGAUUUGUUCGUCCAGCGCUGGUUUGACUUCAGGCUCCGCCCAUUUUUACCCUACGCCUCCGAGACAUUCCUGUCCUGUCUGUCCACCAGAGACUUCAGCUGUGACACCUACAGGAGCGUGUGA